AGGACCAUCAUCAGGUCCUGCUCUGUUCAGAUAUAGAGUAGAUCAUCAUGGCGCCUGUGAAAGGAUGACAUGAAAAUUCUUAAAGCAUUCCAUAUUUUU
This is a small nuclear RNA of Moschus moschiferus (Siberian musk deer), 99 nucleotides long. The record is from Ensembl. Lineage: Eukaryota; Metazoa; Chordata; Mammalia; Artiodactyla; Moschidae.